RNAcentral lists this ribosomal RNA (327 nucleotides) under uncultured eukaryote. RNAcentral's name for it is "partial 18S ribosomal RNA". It matches the Rfam family "Eukaryotic small subunit ribosomal RNA", at positions 1470 to 1796 of the family's 1831-position model. The record is from RNAcentral.
CCCUUAGAUGUUCUGGGCCGCACGCGCGCUACACUGACGAAUGCAACGAGCUUAUAACCUUGGCCAAAAGGUCUGGGUAAUCUCCAAAUUUCGUCGUGAUGGGGAUAGAUUAUUGCAAUUAUUAAUCUUCAACGAGGAAUGCCUAGUAAGCGCAAGUCAUCAGCUUGCGUUGAUUACGUCCCUGCCCUUUGUAUACACCGCCCGUCGCUCCUACCGAUUGAAUGGUCCGGUGAAGCGCUCGGACCGCGGCCUCUUGACGGUUUUCCGUCGAUUGGCUGUGGGAAGUUCGUUAAACCUUAUCAUUUAGAGGAAGGAGAANUCGUANCA